Molecule: transfer RNA, 63 nt
Filed under: Dorcus linwenhsini
Lineage: Eukaryota; Metazoa; Arthropoda; Insecta; Coleoptera; Lucanidae
Description: tRNA-Ile
Source: RNAcentral
AGCGGAGCGCCUGACGAAAGGGUUGUUUUGAUAGAACAAAUUAUGUAAGAAAUACCUUCACUA